Molecule: ribosomal RNA, 859 nt
Filed under: Helminthosporium velutinum
Lineage: Eukaryota; Fungi; Ascomycota; Dothideomycetes; Pleosporales; Massarinaceae
Description: partial large subunit ribosomal RNA
Rfam family: Eukaryotic large subunit ribosomal RNA
Source: RNAcentral
GAACCAACUGGGAUUGCCCUAGUAACGGCGAGUGAAGCGGCAACAGCUCAAAUUUGAAAUCUGGCCUCCUCUGGGGGUCCGAGUUGUAAUUUGCAGAGGGUGCUUUGGCGUUGGUGGCGGUCUAAGUUCCUUGGAACAGGACAUCGCAGAGGGUGAGAAUCCCGUUUGUGGUCGCCUGCCUUCGCCGUGUAAAGCCCCUUCGACGAGUCGAGUUGUUUGGGAAUGCAGCUCUAAAUGGGAGGUAAAUUUCUUCUAAAGCUAAAUACUGGCCAGAGACCGAUAGCGCACAAGUAGAGUGAUCGAAAGAUGAAAAGCACUUUGGAAAGAGAGUCAAACAGCACGUGAAAUUGUUGAAAGGGAAGCGCUUGCAGCCAGACUUGCCCGCAGUUGCUCACCCAGGCUUUUGCCCGGGGCACUCUUCUGCGGGCAGGCCAGCAUCAGUUUGGGCGGUCGGAUAAAGGCCUCUGUCACGUAUCUUCCUUCGGGAUGACCUUAUAGGGGAGGCGACAUGCGACCAGCCCGGACUGAGGUCCGCGCUUCUGCUAGGAUGCUGGCGUAAUGGCUGUAAGCGGCCCGUCUUGAAACACGGACCAAGGAGUCUAACAUCUAUGCGAGUGUUUGGGUGUCAAGCCCGAGCGCGUAAUGAAAGUGAACGGAGGUGGGAACCCUUGGGUGCACCAUCGACCGAUCCUGAUGUCUUCGGAUGGAUUUGAGUAAGAGCAUAGCUGUUGGGACCCGAAAGAUGGUGAACUAUGCUUGAAUAGGGUGAAGCCAGAGGAAACUCUGGUGGAGGCUCGCAGCGGUUCUGACGUGCAAAUCGAUCGUCAAAUUUGGGCAUAGGGGCGAAAGACUAAUCGAA